CAGUAGCCGCGGGAAUACGGAGGGAGCUAGCGUUGUUCGGAAUUACUGGGCGUAAAGCGCACGUAGGCGGUUAUUCAAGUCAGAGGUGAAAGCCCGGGGCUCAACCCCGGAACUGCCUUUGAAACUAGAUGACUAGAAUCUUGGAGAGGUCAGUGGAAUUCCGAGUGUAGAGGUGAAAUUCGUAGAUAUUCGGAAGAACACCAGUGGCGAAGGCGACUGACUGGACAAGUAUUGACGCUGAGGUGCGAAAGCGUGGGGAGCAAACAGGAUUAGAUACCCCCGUAGUCCCUGUCUCUUAUAA
Molecule: ribosomal RNA, 301 nt
Filed under: uncultured bacterium
Lineage: Bacteria
Description: partial 16S ribosomal RNA
Rfam family: Bacterial small subunit ribosomal RNA
Source: RNAcentral